Pteronotus mesoamericanus is the source of this 366-nucleotide non-coding RNA. Lineage: Eukaryota; Metazoa; Chordata; Mammalia; Chiroptera; Mormoopidae. The record is from the annotation of a RefSeq genome assembly.
GCCAUGGGCGUCGGCCUCCUGUGCUACCUGGCCUCCUGUCUCCUACCCUCAGGUCUGGUGAAUGCUGUCAUCACUCAAACCCCCAAAUUCCAGGUUCUGAAAACAGGUCAGAAAGUGACAUUGCAGUGUGCCCAGGAUUUGAACCACAAGACUAUGUACUGGUAUCGACAAGUCCCAGGCCACGGCCCGAAGCUGAUCCAUUACUCGGUCGGUGUUGGGUUCAUCGGCAAAGGAGAGGUCCCCGAUGGGUACAGGGUUAGUAGAUCCAGUACCAGGGACUUCCCCCUCACGCUGGAGUCGGCCACCCCGUCCCAGACAUCUGUGUACUUCUGCGCAAGCACUGAAUCCACAGCGCUGCACAGCUGA